CCCUGCCUUAAGGUAACGGUCACCAGUAACAGCAGCUGGUAAUUUCCUAUUUCAAAUGGUGAGAUUUGGCAAACAGUUGAUAAAACAUCCAGUACUUGGUAAGACUGACGGCCAUUUUAGUUAAAAAUGACUGGUUGGUAAAAGUUAGCAAUAACAUUGGAAAUGAGCCUCUAAUUGUUAUAAUUAAGAGGAAAAUGUGAAAAGCAACAAAAGCAGCUUUUAAUCAUUC
Molecule: non-coding RNA, 229 nt
Organism: Pelobates cultripes (western spadefoot toad)
Lineage: Eukaryota; Metazoa; Chordata; Amphibia; Anura; Pelobatidae
Source: the annotation of a GenBank genome assembly